Molecule: long non-coding RNA, 726 nt
Organism: Misgurnus anguillicaudatus (oriental weatherfish)
Lineage: Eukaryota; Metazoa; Chordata; Actinopteri; Cypriniformes; Cobitidae
Source: RefSeq, a predicted model, not a curated record
GUAAAGGUCAUUGCAGGUGCUGGUUGAUCUGAGGGGUGCAUGUUUAUCUGUAGUGAUCUGCUUGUUAUGCUGAUGGAAAAGAUCCUGCAGGAAACUCUGACAGCAUCACAACAGAGACAUCAGAGCAUCAACAUAUAAAGCUUCAUACGACACCAAGCGACAGGAAGUGACAUCAGAGCUUUCAGUUACCUUCAGUUCUGCAGCAGAGAUAUAGCCACUGCUGUCUGCAUCAUAACAACGCCAGAUCUGUGAAGAGACAAGCGUGAGACUCAUCGUCAUACAACACGUUUGUGUGUUUCCAUAUGAAAGCAUGAGUGUGAACGUCUGACCCUCAUGAACUCCACACUGUUAUCCAGCGGCGUCUCUCUGCGAAACACCAGGAGAAAGUUUUCCUGCUCGGGCAGAAGAGCGGUGGCCAGCUGCAAAAAACACACACACAUCGUCUACAUUAAUCCCUUUUCUGCAGGUGCUGCUCAGAAACAUCAGCCUACAUGAACAGAAAUCAUCUCAUGUGUGUGGUUUUAAAGCUUCAAAUAUCACUACAGACUGGUUGAGAUAUACAAAUAUACUCCACAAGUUUUGGAUUCUUUUAAAAAUGUUAUUGCAUUAUAAAAUAAAAUAUAAAACCAAGUGAUAUAAAAGAUGAAAACAUUACUUUCACACUUUGUUGUCAUGUCUAUAGUUAAUGUGAUAUAACUUGACUUUAUAUAUAUAUCCACAAAAUAU